Molecule: long non-coding RNA, 653 nt
Filed under: Homo sapiens (human)
Lineage: Eukaryota; Metazoa; Chordata; Mammalia; Primates; Hominidae
Description: HSALNT0296194
Source: RNAcentral
ACAGGUGCCCGCCACCACACCUGGCUAAUUUUUUUAUUUUUAGUAGCGAUGGGGUUUCGCCAUGUUGGCCAAGCUGGUCUCGAACUCCUGACCUCAGAUGAUCCACCCACCUCGGUAUCCCAAAGUGCUGGGAUUACAGGCGUGAGCCACGGCACCUGGCCAACAAUUCAUAAGUUUUAAGUUUCACACUGUUGUGAAUAGCGUGAUGAAAUCUCUAGCCAUCCCGCUCAGGAUGUGAAUCAUCCUUUUGCCCAGCCUAUCCAUGCUGUAUAUGCUACCUGCCCUUUAGUCAUCAACAUCUGCUCAACAUUGUCGUGGCUCAAUGAUCUGAGAUCACCUAAAGCAGAUGAUUCUCCUUCUGACUUAUCAUCAAUAGUGGCCUAAGGCUAUAUCACAAUGCUGUCAUUCACCUUACCUCAUCAGGAAGGCAGUUUAUCAUCUCACAUCAUCACAAGAAGGACUAUGCUCUUCGAGACCAGCAUGGGCAACAUGGUGAAAUCCUGCCUCUACAAAAAUUAACUGGGCGUGGUGGUGCGGGCAUGUAAUCCCAGCUACUCGGGAGGCUAAGGCAGAAAUGCUUGAACCCGGGAGGUGGAGGCUGUGGUGAGCCGACAUCCCGCAACUGUACUCCAGCCUGGAUGACAGAGCGAAAC